CUUUUACAAUGAAGAGUUUGAUCCUGGCUCAGGAUGAACGCUAGCUACAGGCUUAACACAUGCAAGUCGAGGGGCAUCAGGAAGAAAGCUUGCUUUCUUUGCUGGCGACCGGCGCACGGGUGAGUAACACGUAUCCAACCUGCCCUUUACUCGGGGAUAGCCUUUCGAAAGAAAGAUUAAUACCCGAUAGCAUAAUGAUUCCGCAUGGUUUCAUUAUUAAAGGAUUCCGGUAAAGGAUGGGGAUGCGUUCCAUUAGGUUGUUGGUGAGGUAACGGCCCACCAAGCCUUCGAUGGAUAGGGGUUCUGAGAGGAAGGUCCCCCACAUUGGAACUGAGACACGGUCCAAACUCCUACGGGAGGCAGCAGUGAGGAAUAUUGGUCAAUGGGCGCUAGCCUGAACCAGCCAAGUAGCGUGAAGGAUGAAGGCUCUAUGGGUCGUAAACUUCUUUUAUAUAAGAAUAAAGUGCAGUAUGUAUACUGUUUUGUAUGUAUUAUAUGAAUAAGGAUCGGCUAACUCCGUGCCAGCAGCCGCGGUAAUACGGAGGAUCCGAGCGUUAUCCGGAUUUAUUGGGUUUAAAGGGAGCGUAGGUGGACUGGUAAGUCAGUUGUGAAAGUUUGCGGCUCAACCGUAAAAUUGCAGUUGAUACUGUCAGUCUUGAGUACAGUAGAGGUGGGCGGAAUUCGUGGUGUAGCGGUGAAAUGCUUAGAUAUCACGAAGAACUCCGAUUGCGAAGGCAGCUCACUGGACUGCAACUGACACUGAUGCUCGAAAGUGUGGGUAUCAAACAGGAUUAGAUACCCUGGUAGUCCACACAGUAAACGAUGAAUACUCGCUGUUUGCGAUAUACAGUAAGCGGCCAAGCGAAAGCAUUAAGUAUUCCACCUGGGGAGUACGCCGGCAACGGUGAAACUCAAAGGAAUUGACGGGGGCCCGCACAAGCGGAGGAACAUGUGGUUUAAUUCGAUGAUACGCGAGGAACCUUACCCGGGCUUAAAUUGCAGUGGAAUGAUGUGGAAACAUGUCAGUGAGCAAUCACCGCUGUGAAGGUGCUGCAUGGUUGUCGUCAGCUCGUGCCGUGAGGUGUCGGCUUAAGUGCCAUAACGAGCGCAACCCUUAUCUUCAGUUACUAACAGGUCAUGCUGAGGACUCUGGAGAGACUGCCGUCGUAAGAUGUGAGGAAGGUGGGGAUGACGUCAAAUCAGCACGGCCCUUACGUCCGGGGCUACACACGUGUUACAAUGGGGGGUACAGAAGGCAGCUAGCGGGUGACCGUAUGCUAAUCCCAAAAGCCUCUCUCAGUUCGGAUCGAAGUCUGCAACCCGACUUCGUGAAGCUGGAUUCGCUAGUAAUCGCGCAUCAGCCACGGCGCGGUGAAUACGUUCCCGGGCCUUGUACACACCGCCCGUCAAGCCAUGGGAGCCGGGGGUACCUGAAGUACGUAACCGCAAGGAUCGUCCUAGGGUAAAACUGGUGACUGGGGCUAAGUCGUAACAAGGUAGCCGUACCGGAAGGUGCGGCUGGAACACCUCCUUUCU
Molecule: ribosomal RNA, 1536 nt
Filed under: Bacteroides fragilis
Lineage: Bacteria; Pseudomonadati; Bacteroidota; Bacteroidia; Bacteroidales; Bacteroidaceae
Also listed under: 1 other name
Description: bacterial SSU rRNA
Rfam family: Bacterial small subunit ribosomal RNA
Source: RNAcentral